RNAcentral lists this ribosomal RNA (995 nucleotides) under Chondrosia sp. UCMPWC1004. RNAcentral's name for it is "eukaryotic LSU rRNA". It matches the Rfam family "Eukaryotic large subunit ribosomal RNA", at positions 858 to 1811 of the family's 3401-position model. Lineage: Eukaryota; Metazoa; Porifera; Demospongiae; Chondrillida; Chondrillidae. The record is from RNAcentral.
GAAACCCUGGUGGAAGCUCGAAGCGGUUCUGACGUGCAAAUCGAUCGUCUGAUUUGGGUAUAGGGGCGAAAGACUAAUCGAACCAUCUAGUAGCUGGUUCCCUCCGAAGUUUCCCUCAGGAUAGCUGGAAUCCGAGUGCGUGCAGUUUUAUCAGGUAAAGCGAAUGAUUAGAGGCCUUGGGGUUGAAACAACCUCAACCUAUUCUCAAACUUUAAAUAGGUAAGAAGUCCGACUUGCUCAAUUGAAGCCGGACGUCSAAUGCAGGGUUCCAAGUGGGCCAUUUUUGGUAAGCAGAACUGGCGAUGCGGGAUGAACCGAAAGGCGGGCUAAGGUGCCGAAGUCGACGCUCAUCAGACCCCAYAAAAGGUGUUGGUUGAUCCAGACAGCAGGACGGUGGCCAUAAAAGUCGGAAUCCGCUAAGGAGUGUGUAACAACUCACCUGCCGAAUCAACCAGCCCUGAAAAUGGAUGGCGCUCAAGCGUCGCACCCACACCCGCCCGUUGGUCCGAGUCGGCUGGUCCAACGUGUAGNAGGGCGCAGCGGUAGUGAAGCAGCCCAGGGCGCGAGCCCGGGUGGAACUGCCGCCGGUGCAGAUCUUGGUGGUAGUAGCAAAUAUUCAAAUGAGAACUUUGAAGACUGAAGUGGGGAAAGGUUCCAUGUGAACAGCAGUUGGACAUGGGUGAGUCGGUCCUAAGGGACAGGUCAAUUCCGAUCAAGCGCGCAGCCUCGGCUUCGGUCGCGGAGGCGCCUCCUCCCGAAAGGGAAUCAGGUCAAUAAUCCUGAACCGGAAUGCGGAUAGGGUCGAAGUCUUCGGCCAUCGACCACGGCGGCAACGCGAGCGAACUCGGAGACGCUGGCGGGGGCUCCGGGAAGAGUUCUCUUUUCUUCUUGACGGGCCGACCCCCUGGAAUGGGAUUGCCCCRAGAUAGGGUCUGGUGUCCGGCAAAGCGCUGCACCUCUUGCAGCGUCCGGUGCGCUUCCGACAGCCCGUGAAA